GAUGAACGCUAGCUACAGGCUUAACACAUGCAAGUCGCGGGGCAGCAUGGGGGUUGUUUGCAAUCCCCGAUGGCGACCGGCGCACGGGUGAGUAACGAGUAUCCAACCUGCCCUUCCCCACGGGAUAACCCGGCGAAAGUCGGACUAAUACCGUAUGUUGUCCAUUGACGGCAUCCGAUUUGGACGAAAGGUUCGGCGGCGACGGAUGGGGAUGCGUCCGAUUAGCUGGACGGCGGGGUGACGGCCCACCGUGGCGACGAUCGGUAGGGGUUCUGAGAGGAAGGUCCCCCACACUGGAACUGAGACACGGUCCAGACUCCUACGGGAGGCAGCAGUGAGGAAUAUUGGUCAAUGGGCGUAAGCCUGAACCAGCCAAGUAGCGUGCAGGAUGACGGCCCUAUGGGUUGUAAACUGCUUUUAUGCGGGGAUAAAGUGGCCCACGUGUGGGUUUUUGCAGGUACCGCAUGAAUAAGGACCGGCUAAUUCCGUG
Molecule: ribosomal RNA, 490 nt
Filed under: uncultured bacterium
Lineage: Bacteria
Description: partial 16S ribosomal RNA
Rfam family: Bacterial small subunit ribosomal RNA
Source: RNAcentral